CAGCCGCCGCGGUAAUACGGAGGGCGCGAGCGUUGUCCGGAUUCACUGGGCGUAAAGCGGGUGUAGGCGGUUCCUUAAGUCUGAUGUGAAAUCUCGCGGCUCAACCGUGAGCGGUCAUUGGAAACUGGGGAACUUGAGUGCAGGAGAGAAGAGCGGAAUUCCACGUGUAGCGGUGAAAUGCGUAGAGAUGUGGAGGAACACCAGUGGCGAAGGCGGCUCUUUGGCCUGUAACUGACGCUGAGGCGCGAAAGCGUGGGGAGCAAACAGGAUUAGAUACCCUGGUAGUCCACGCCGUAAACGAUGAGUGCUAGGUGUUAGAGGGUUUCCGCCCUUUAGUGCUGCAGCUAACGCAUUAAGCACUCCGCCUGGGGAGUACGGCCGCAAGGCUGAAACUUAAAGGAAUUGGCGGG
Molecule: ribosomal RNA, 410 nt
Filed under: uncultured microorganism
Description: bacterial SSU rRNA
Rfam family: Bacterial small subunit ribosomal RNA
Source: RNAcentral